GAUGAACGCUGGCGGCGUGCCUAAUACAUGCAAGUCGAGCGAACGGACGAGAAGCUUGCUUCUCUGAUGUUAGCGGCGGACGGGUGAGUAACACGUGGAUAACCUACCUAUAAGACUGGGAUAACUUCGGGAAACCGGAGCUAAUACCGGAUAAUAUUUUGAACCGCAUGGUUCAAAAGUGAAAGACGGUCUUGCUGUCACUUAUAGAUGGAUCCGCGCUGCAUUAGCUAGUUGGUAAGGUAACGGCUUACCAAGGCAACGAUGCAUAGCCGACCUGAGAGGGUGAGCGGCCACACUGGAACUGAGACACGGUCCAGCCUCCUACGGGAGGCAGCAGUAGGGAGUCUUCCGCAAUGGGCGAGAGCCUGACGGAGCAACGCCGCGUGAGUGAUGAAGGUCUUCGGUUCGUAAAACUCUGUUAUUAGGGAAGAACAUAUGUGUAAGUAACUGUGCACAUCUUGACGGUACCUAAUCAGAAAGCCCCGGCUAACUACGU
This 496-nucleotide ribosomal RNA is filed under the name uncultured bacterium. Its description in RNAcentral is "partial 16S ribosomal RNA". It matches the Rfam family "Bacterial small subunit ribosomal RNA", at positions 28 to 506 of the family's 1533-position model. The record is from RNAcentral.